Molecule: long non-coding RNA, 1246 nt
Filed under: Felis catus (domestic cat)
Lineage: Eukaryota; Metazoa; Chordata; Mammalia; Carnivora; Felidae
Description: lncRNA (ENSFCAG00000042754.2)
Source: RNAcentral
GUAAAGGAAGGUGGGGGAAGUUCCUUCCCCUUCCACCGUGGGGACAUAAAACCCCCACCAGCCUGUGAGCUGCCCGAGGUAGAAAUCAUCACAUUUGGUCCCUUGGUGACUUACAAGAUGUCUGGCCCUCAGCAGGGUCUCACCCACCGCGGGCAGAAUGAGUGACUGAAUGCCAGACCCAACAAAGGAAGGAGGAAGUGAAAGACGAGCGGAGAAGGCCCCAUUCCAGCCCACAUGUCACUGAUAACGGUGAUAAAAUGAAGGACAAAGUGGACUGAGUUAUGAUACCACUUCGACUUUGUCUAACUUUGUGCAAACGCUUCGUGUUCGGCUGGGAUAAUGGGAGUCCCUGGACGGGCAACAAACAAGUGAGUGAGCAGAGAAGUGGUGUCUUCCAUUUGCAGCCAUUUACAGUUUGCAAAGCUAUCACGUGCACAUUUUUUCCAUAGAGUCUGUAAACCACCCCAUGCACAGGCAUGACAAAUAGUACUUUCUCCUUUGAUGAAUAAUCAAACUGCAAUUUGAAGGCCUGAAAUAACUGAAAUCACAGAGCUAAAAGUGGCAGAGCACACAUUUUUGACCUGUGGUUCUGGCUUUCAGGGGGCCCACGCUCUGGAACAAAAAAAAUCCCACCCAUGUGUUCAGCCCCAUCAAUGCCACGCAGAGCCUUUUCUUUCUUUCUUUCUUUCUUUCUUUUUUUUUUUUUUUUUUUUUUUUUUUUUUUUUUUUUUUUGACCCAGGUGUCCAGGAAUAACAUUGGGUCUGGUUUUGUGCAGGUUGUUCAUUUUUUUUUACAAAUUUUUACAAUUUUUUUUUUUUACAAAUUGUGCAAUUAAAUUAUGAAAUGUGUGACUCAAAAGAGUCACAUCUCCUCCUGCCAACAAAACCAUCCAUUUCUCACAUCUCACCAACGAACGUCAGAAAUGCCCAUUUUCGUUUCUGCCCUUCCGGCGAUUUCCCCACCUCCCCGCUGUCUGCCCCCGUUUCUUUGCUCGUUUUCCCCAGGCUGGUCUUCCUUUCGGAACUUGAGAAGCAUUUUUGCCUUCCCGCUUGGUGCUGUGCUCGCUUCGAAUGUGUGCUCUCCUCCUCCCUCUUUACUUUUCCCCAAGGCCCUGGAGUUGCUUUCUUUGGAGACAGCCUCUACCCACUCUUUCCAGCGCGGGGGCCAGCUGGCCCCCGAAAUCAAUCAGGGGCCCAUCAGAGACCGGGCUGGCCGCUGUCACUCCCGCCGUGGAAUUUAGGGUGA